RNAcentral lists this ribosomal RNA (258 nucleotides) under uncultured bacterium. RNAcentral describes it as "partial 16S ribosomal RNA". It matches the Rfam family "Bacterial small subunit ribosomal RNA", at positions 524 to 772 of the family's 1533-position model. The record is from RNAcentral.
UACAUGGGGUGCAAACGUUGCUCGGAAUUAUUGGGCGUAAAGCGCACGUAGGCGGUUCGUUAAGUCGGAUGUGAAAGCCCUCGGCUCAACUGAGGAAGUGCACCCGAAACUGGCGAGCUUGAGUACGAAAGAAGGAUCGCGGAAUUUCCCGGUGUAGAGGUGAAAUUUCGUAGAUAUCGGGAGGAACACCCGGGUGGCGAAAGGGCGGGCGAUCUGGGUCGAUACUGACGCUGAGGUGCGAAAAGCGUGGGGAGCAAA